This 205-nucleotide microRNA precursor is filed under the name Oryza sativa Indica Group (long-grained rice). Its description in RNAcentral is "MIR812 microRNA precursor family". It matches the Rfam family "MIR812 microRNA precursor family". Lineage: Eukaryota; Viridiplantae; Streptophyta; Magnoliopsida; Poales; Poaceae. The record is from Rfam by way of RNAcentral.
AAAAAGAUAAACCCUGGGUUUCCGUGUCCAACUUUGACUGUCCGUCUUAUAUGAAAUUUUUUUAUAAUUCGUAUUUUUAUUGUUGUUAGAUGAUAAAAUAUGAUUAAUAUUUUAUGUGUGACUUGUCUUUUUAUUUUUUUUUAUAAUUUUUUCAAAUAAGACGGACGGUCAAACGUUGGGCACGGAAAUCAGGGUUUGUCUUUUU